Molecule: long non-coding RNA, 1385 nt
Organism: Silurus meridionalis
Lineage: Eukaryota; Metazoa; Chordata; Actinopteri; Siluriformes; Siluridae
Exons: 3
Source: RefSeq, a predicted model, not a curated record
GGGGGGUAUUCCAGAAAGCAGGUUAUGUGACAUACCUGGGUAUGUUUAAGGGGAUUCCAAAUGUAAUUGGGUGCAUUGAUGGCACUCACAUUCCUAUUAAAGCUCCACCAAUAAAUGAGGGAGACUGUGUUAAUAGGAAAUCUAUUCAUAGUAUCAAUGUGCAGGACAGUACAAUGGUUACUUGCUGGGGGACAGAGGAUACCCUUGUCUGCCCUAUUUAAUGACACCCUACUCUGAACCUGAGCCUGGACCACAGACACGGUUUAACCUGCCUCACAGCCGAACACGGGCCAAGGUGGAGAUGACUAUAGGGAUCCUCAAAUCUUGGUUUCAGAGUCUGCGUGGGCUCCGGGUUAGUCCAGAGAGGGCAUGCGACAUUAUAGUAGCUUGUGUUGUGCUUCACAAUAUUGCCACUAUAAGAGGAGAGAGCCACCCUCCUUGUAUUGAGGAAGAUGGCCCAGAGGAACACCUACAGAUUUUAGAGGCCAACAGAGACGGAAGACUUUUGAGAGACAGGAUCUGUCAAAAUCACUUAUUAAUUUUUUUGCACUGGUCUGCCAGGCAGUGUAUUUCUUUAUUUCCUGUAAAAUUCAAUAAAAUAAUUAUUUAUAUUGCUUUACACAUACACACACACACACACACACACACACACACACACACACACACAUACCACUUUUAACAUGCAACAGAUUAAUAUUCAGACAAGUUCUCACCUUAAGGCGAUGCUCCAGUAAUUCAAUUUCAAGUGCUGCUUUUUUAAUGAGAAACCUUUUCUCUUCCAUUUGAAACUGUAUAAGGUCCCUCUCCAUGUCACUUUUUCUUAUUUGUUUUUGGAGAUGGACCUUAUACAGCUCAACAAAUCAAUUACAACUGUGACAGACUGAGUUCUUUCUGGAGGGUCCAAUAAUACAAUACGUCCAUCAGUAUCUAUAAGAACACACAACCCAUUAAAUUCUCAAUAUUAUUAAAGAAAAUAAUACAUGAAAAGAGUAAGAUGUCAGACUAAGAUCACAGUAGCCUAUACAUCAUAUGCAGUUAAAUAAAAUAAGCCUACAUAAAAAUGUAUCUUGUUCAAAAAGCCUUUAAGUGACAGAGAUAGUAAUUUAUUAGGACAAAAAAAAUGAAAAAUCAUAGAGGUAAACUUACAUUUCACCAUUUUUUCACCAUCACUUGUGGUGCAUGGUGUGUGUGAUGAACUGUCCCCUGGAAUGCCAGUAACCACUGGUUGCCCUUUAUUAAGGGACAGAGCCAGCUCCUCAGAUGGGGUGAGGGGAGGUGGUGGUGGACCCCCGCCAGUUAGACGGGCUUCAGUCUUCUUUUUAUUAGCUACAUGACAGAAUUAAUAUUCUAAAUCCUGUUAUAAUAAUAGUUCAGUAAUUGUGUAA